RNAcentral lists this transfer RNA (70 nucleotides) under human gut metagenome. It matches the Rfam family "tRNA". Rfam says of the family: Transfer RNA (tRNA) molecules are approximately 80 nucleotides in length. The record is from RNAcentral.
UGGGAUAGCUCAGUUGGUAGAGCAACUGACUCGUAAUCAGUAGGUCGUAGGUUCAAUUCCCAUUCUCAGC